CCACAGUGAUAAUGUUACGUGGUUAAAGUGGCCUCUUUUAUAAGCUUCGCUGAAGAUGAGUCUCGUCAGAUUGCUAGUUGGGAGGUAAUGCUCACCAAGCUUUGAUCUUAGCUGGUCGAGAGGAUGUCAGCCACAUGGAACUGAACACGGUCCGACUCCUACGGAGGCAGCGUAGGGAAUUUGCACAAUGGGGAAACCUGAUGCAGCACGCCGCGUAGUGAUGAAGCCUUCGGGUGUAAAGCUUGUCGUCAGGGCGAAGGUCUGUGGCUACAUCCACAGAAUUGACAGACCUGACAAAAAGGAACGCUAACUUCGGCCAGCAGCGCGGUAAUAGAAGGUUCCAGCGUUGUUGGAAUCAUUGGCGUAAAGGCAUGUAGGGGCUCUUUCAGUCAGAUGGAAAUCCCCAGCUUAACUUGGGAACUGCAUUUUGAUACUGAUGAGCUUUGAGUAUGA
Molecule: ribosomal RNA, 453 nt
Filed under: uncultured bacterium
Lineage: Bacteria
Description: bacterial SSU rRNA
Rfam family: Archaeal small subunit ribosomal RNA
Source: RNAcentral